CCAGUGUAGUGUGAGCUGCUCCAGCCAGACCCACUCGGUGACGCUGGCUAACCAAGUGCCUGCUUGUGCCAAGGUCCCCAUGGCUCACUUGAACACUGACAACCAGCUGGAGUCCGUCUGGCUCACCUGCGUGUCAGUAGUGUUCAAAUAGGUCUUAGACGUCUAAAUAUGUGCUUAGUGCUUAGAUUUUAUUGGCUGCUGGUACGUUGCUCCCUGCAGUCAUCUCACUUAUAAUAGCCGUGUCCCGUAUGGUAACAAGUGUUUGUACUACAAGCCUCCGUGUGCAAAUCACCAGCCAGGAGAGAGACACGAGUGCAAAGUGCUGAGCGCCAACCGACGGUGUUAUGUCCUGCCUCGCGAACCAUUGUGGAACAUCAAAGAGGACAAAAGACUUUGCUGAUUGCUCUUCCCCCACACCCUCCAUGAAGCCGUCUUGCAAGUGAAUUCCUCCCAACAACUCAGUUUGCAACUGCAAGCAGAAGUGCCUGAGCAGUUUACACUUGAGAAUUGGUUGGUGAAAUCGAAGUAUAGAGCUCACAGGCAAGUUGGGGUCCAGCAGCCUGCCCUGAGGUCAAUAUUCCCACCUCGAGCUCUGGGCUACACUGCAGAAUUCCUUUGCUCUAACUGUCGCUCAGAGCUAUUUAAGCUGCUGGCAUCUGGGAGCGCUCAGACUCCUCGGCCCGCAAUCACCAUGGACAGGCUGGAGGUGACGGAGACCUUCGCUGGCAUGUCCUUGCCUGGCCACAUGCACACACAG
Molecule: long non-coding RNA, 757 nt
Filed under: Chelydra serpentina (North American snapping turtle)
Lineage: Eukaryota; Metazoa; Chordata; Testudines; Chelydridae
Description: lncRNA (ENSCSRG00000013149.1)
Source: RNAcentral